This 253-nucleotide ribosomal RNA is filed under the name uncultured bacterium. RNAcentral's name for it is "partial 16S ribosomal RNA". It matches the Rfam family "Bacterial small subunit ribosomal RNA", at positions 524 to 776 of the family's 1533-position model. The record is from RNAcentral.
UACGAAGGGUGCAAGCGUUACUCGGAAUUACUGGGCGUAAAGCGUGCGUAGGUGGUUCGUUAAGUCUGUCGUGAAAGCCCCGGGCUCAACCUGGGAAUGGCGAUGGAUACUGGCGGGCUAGAGUGCGGUAGAGGAGAGUGGAAUUCCCGGUGUAGCAGUGAAAUGCGUAGAGAUCGGGAGGAACAUCAGUUGCGAAGGCGGCUCUCUGGACCAGCACUGACACUGAGGCACGAAAGCGUGGGGAGCAAGCAGG